Molecule: non-coding RNA, 30 nt
Filed under: Mus musculus (house mouse)
Lineage: Eukaryota; Metazoa; Chordata; Mammalia; Rodentia; Muridae
Source: RNAcentral
UGUGCACCCAAGUUGUUAAGCUGAAAGGAC